Molecule: long non-coding RNA, 286 nt
Filed under: Octopus sinensis (East Asian common octopus)
Lineage: Eukaryota; Metazoa; Mollusca; Cephalopoda; Octopoda; Octopodidae
Description: uncharacterized LOC118760997, transcript variant X2
Source: RNAcentral
UGCUCUUUCAUUUUGUUCCUUUCAGAAAUAAAGAUUUAUUGGCGGAAUGUUUCCAAGUAAACUGUGAUAACAAUGAGAGUAAUGUUAGUUGUUGGUCCCAACUUUUCACUGGACAAUGCGCUGAUAUAUCAGAAAAAGGGAGUGAAGCUAAAGCAAUUGAGAAAGAAAUUUUUAAUACUUGAUUCACAGGAGAGUUUGCUGAAUUCCACCCGACUAAGCUUGACAAUCAGCGAUAAAAAAAUACUAAAAACGGCAGUAAAUUCCAAGACUCGUAUCGGAAGAGGGU